RNA transcript from Pteronotus mesoamericanus, 6166 nucleotides. It is a transcript of the gene named diacylglycerol kinase gamma, with no coding region annotated. NCBI's taxonomy places the organism in Eukaryota, Metazoa, Chordata, Mammalia, Chiroptera, Mormoopidae. The record is from RefSeq and is a predicted model, not a curated record. The transcript is spliced from 27 exons.
GACAAGGACUGCUUCGGAGCCGCGGAUAAGGGAGCAGGCAGAAGACCCCGGCGCUGCCUAACCCCUGCAGGGCCACCCGAGCCCUGCGGCGCCCACUCGGGCUGCCAUCCCCUCCCCUACCCGGCUGCGCUGGCGGGAAGACGCUCAGACGCCUGCUUCGGUCUUCUUUCCGUCUCUUGGUCCCUCUUUCCUCCCAAGUAAGGGAAUAAGCUCCGAGGAAGGAGCGCUCCGGGGAACCGCGCAACCAAGUGUUGCCUGGUGAGAGGAAAAACAAGGAUUUCUGAAUUUACCUUGACUAAGAUAGGAUGCUCCCUGAGGAAUAACAGAGGACUUCGCUCAUCUGUUGAAAAGUGUCCACCACUGCCAUAGACACUUGGGUCCGCGACACAUCUCUUGAAGGGCUUGUCCAUCACCUUCCUGCAAUGAGCCAGACCCUGGGCUGGGCCACGGCUUCACACUCGUGAACAAAACUCCAUCCCUGGCCUUAAGUAUUCAGCCUAAAGAUGAGUGAAGAACGCUGGGUCUCCCUCACUCCAGAAGAAUUUGACCAACUCCAGAAAUAUUUAGAAUAUUCUUCCAAGAAGAUAAAGGAUGUCUUGGCUGAAUUUAAUAAGAGUGGAAGCCUCAAACAAUAUGACUCACAUGAGACAAUUAGCUAUGAUGUCUUCAAGUUGUUCAUGAAGGCAUACCUGGAGGUGGACCUUCCCCAGCCACUGAGCACGCACCUCUUCCUGGCCUUCAGCCAGAAGCCCCGACAGGAGACCCCUGAGCACCCAAAGGAGGGGACCAGCAACAGCGAGGCCAGUGCCCCAGAUUCUGAUAUACAGAAUGCAGAUAAUGCUGCCAAAGCAGAUGAGGCCUGUGCCCCCGAUACAGUAUCAAAGAUCACCAAGAAGCAAGUGCCAGCUAAAGACCAAGCAGCUGCAACUGCCCUGGGAAACGCCGUUGCUCAGUCUUCAGGCUCAGGCAGCCCCACAGUGUACCUGAAGGACGUCGUGUGUUACCUGUCCCUGCUGGAGACAGGGAGACCUCAAGAUAAGCUGGAGUUCAUGUUUCGUCUCUAUGAUUCGGAUGAGAACGGUCUUCUGGAUCAAAUGGAGAUGGACCGUAUUGUCAACCAAAUGCUGCACAUUGCCCAGUAUCUUGAGUGGGAUCCCACGGAGCUAAGGCCUAUACUGAAGGAGAUGUUGCAAGGGAUGGACUACGACCGGGACGGCUUUGUGUCUCUACAGGAAUGGGUCCAUGGAGGGAUGACCACCAUCCCACUGCUGGUCCUCCUGGGCAUGGAUGACUCUGGCUCCAAGGGGGAUGGCAGGCACGCCUGGACCAUGAAGCAUUUCAAGAAACCAACCUAUUGCAACUUCUGCCACGUCAUGCUGAUGGGUGUUCGAAAGCAAGGCCUGUGCUGCACAUACUGUAAAUAUACUGUCCAUGAACGCUGUGUAUCCAAAAACAUUCCUGGGUGUGUCAAAACGUACUCAAAAACCAAAAGGGGCAGCGAGUUUCACCGCAAAUGUGAGUUAUCCACACUGUGCGAUGGUGGGGAACUCAAAGACCACAUCCUGCUGCCCACCUCGAUAUGCCCCAUCACCCGGGACAGGCAAGGUGGGAAGUCGGAUGGCAGUGUGUCAGCUAAGGAUGAACUUGUGAUGCAGUAUAAGAUCAUCCCCACCCCGGGUACCCACCCCCUGUUGGUCUUGGUGAACCCCAAGAGUGGAGGGAGACAAGGAGAAAGAAUUCUUCGGAAAUUCCACUAUCUGCUCAACCCCAAACAAGUUUUCAACCUGGACAGUGGGGGGCCUACUCCAGGACUGAACUUUUUCCGGGAUACUCCAGACUUCCGUGUCUUGGCCUGCGGAGGAGAUGGGACAGUUGGCUGGAUUUUGGAUUGCAUUGAUAAGGCCAACUUUGCAAAGCAUCCACCAGUGGCUGUCCUGCCUCUUGGAACAGGAAAUGACCUGGCCAGAUGUCUCCGCUGGGGAGGAGGUUACGAAGGAGGAAGCCUGACAAAAAUCCUAAAGGACAUCGAGCAGAGCCCCUUGGUGAUGCUGGACCGCUGGCACCUGGAAGUCAUCCCCAGAGAAGAGGUGGAGAAUGGGGACCAGGUCCCGUAUGACAUCAUGAACAACUACUUCUCCAUUGGCGUGGAUGCUUCCAUCGCACACCGGUUCCACGUGAUGAGAGAGAAACACCCUGAGAAAUUCAACAGCAGGAUGAAGAACAAGCUGUGGUACUUUGAAUUUGGCACUUCAGAGACCUUUGCAGCCACCUGCAAGAAACUCCACGACCACAUAGAGUUGGAGUGUGACGGGGUUGGAGUGGACCUGAGCAACAUCUUCCUUGAAGGCAUUGCCAUUCUCAACAUUCCCAGCAUGUACGGUGGCACCAAUCUCUGGGGAGAAACCAAAAAGAACCGGGCUGUGAUCCGGGAAAGCAGAAAGGUUGUCACUGACCCUAAGGAACUGAAAUUCUGCGUCCAAGACCUCAGUGACCAGCUUCUCGAAGUGGUGGGGCUGGAGGGAGCCAUGGAAAUGGGGCAGAUCUACACCGGCCUGAAGAGUGCGGGCAGGAGGCUGGCCCAGUGUUCCUCUGUCACCGUCCGGACGAACAAGCUGCUGCCAAUGCAAGUGGAUGGAGAGCCCUGGAUGCAGCCGCCUUGCACAAUUAAAAUUACUCACAAGAACCAAGCACCCAUGAUGAUGGGACCUCCCCAGAAGAGCAGCUUCUUUUCACUGAGGAGGAAGAGCCGUUCAAAAGACUAAAGGGUGUGCCAAUUGCCAGUUAAACCAAGAGAGAAAACAAGAAACUGUAACACACAUACACACACACACACACACACACACACACACACACACACUCCUUUCUAACCAGUGGAAAUGAAGCCGCCCUUUAGGAGGAAAUCUUCACCCUGCCAUACAUUCUAUUUCAAUGAGGGACACACCCCAACGGAACCAGUGACAACAAACAAAACAUUUCAAAUGGACAGAGGGCCCACUAGAGGAUGGCUGGCUCUUGCAGCAACCUCCCCAUUCCCAGAAGGCCUUGAGUGAGACUUUCUGAGAUUGAAGAAGGAACCCCCCUUUCUUCCCACCAGCCUGCAAGUUUCCUCACGGACACUCGCAAGGAGCGGGCUGCAGAUUUCCUGCCCGUGGUGAGAUCGGAUGUGGCCAAGGGAAUGAGUUCCUGUUCCAGACAACUUACACAAAGAUCCCUCUGUAAAGAGACAAACUGCCUUCGACUCUCAGAGCAUAACCCUUGGCAGAGCUCAGCCAGUGCACGUUGGUUUGUUGGUUGUCCUUCGAGCGGCAGCUUCUCCCCGAACCUGCUGAGGAGGCAGAAAGGCUGUGGAAAGCUGUGUUUCCAUUCUUGGUUCUCUGCGCUGUCAGUGGGCACUUGUUAUUUUCCUGAAGCCUUCUCCUGGUGGCUGUGUUUGUUUAGAGCCGGCUCCAAGAGCCCCCAGAGCUGCCUGCACAGGACACCUCAGAUGUGGUAUUUAUUUUCUUAGUUCUGUGAACACCUGGGAGGGAAAGCAGAGAAACGGGGAUUUAUUUUUCAAAUUGGUGUCAUAAUAUUGUGUAAAAAAGGGAAGAAAAAAACCACCCCCAUCUCCUUUCUUUUUCAAGCCAAAGCGUGUUUCCUGUUUGAGUUCCAAGCCCUGGUGGCAGUGUAUUCCUGAAGGCAGGGAAGUCGGGAGGGAAGGGCCGUUUGCUGAGGAGACCAGUAGACAAACCAUCGGGAGGUUCCCUCCUGCCUCUCUGCACCUAGCUCUCCCACAGUAUGAUCUGAAGCCCCUUCUGAUGGUCUUAUGUGUGUACAUAUAUGUAGCAUAUAUAUUUAUAGAUAUAAAUAUUUAUUUACUGAUGGACUUUCCCUGACUGAAAAAAAAUAUGUAGUAUAAGAACAGAAAAUGGGAAAGAUAAAGAAGGUUUUUACUUCUCCAUUCCACCAUUUCCAUGUCAAGACACACUGCCCCGUGGUGACUGUGAGAUUUAAGGGAAAUGAAAGUAGCUUCAUGUCAUAGAGAGACUGAGAGUUUCAAUUCUGGAUCCUCAAAACAACUAUGACAUAGAUACUGGGCAGGAUUUAUUCUCCCAUUUGUCAGAUAAGGAAACUGAGUCUCAGAAGAGUUAAGAAACUUGUCCAUGCUAUCUUGGCUAAUGUCGUUUAGGAAUAGGUGCCACUUAAGAAGAUAAUUAAUAAAGAAAAUAACCCACAUAUCCUGGAGUAGGGUCAUUUCUGGUUGCUGAGUAAUGACUCCACUUGGAUCCAGGUUGCCAGGGGAAAAUGAAUGUGCAGCACGUAUGUGGAUGGGACAAGCCCACAUGAGAAACUGAGGCCUCAUGAUGCUCCCCAGACAUUCUCUCUGGCCUGAACUGGUGAGAAGUUGGUCUGGGGUUGAAGGCACUGGACAGAUCACCAGACUCUCCACUUAUCACCUCAUCUUGGUCAUCAGAGUCUCUCAGUAUGGCAACAACCCUGGCUGCAGGAAUAACCUCAGUGGAGAGUCACAGGAGGACUGAGGUGCCUUCUGCAAGGUGCUUCCAGCCAGUACGCAGAGGGGCCACGGCAGAGCUCAGGUGGCUUCAUUCAGCUGGUGCUGGCAUUGCCCUCCUUUCCCAAGGGCAGUGCCUGUGGAGCUUCUUAGGUAGAAGAAACAUUUGCCUCAGCACCUUUGCUCCCUCAGGCCUCCAUCCUCUCUGAGAUUUCUCAAGAGGAAACCUGGGCCCACUGGACAUUGCUCCGCUGAGCUUCUUCUAACCUCCUUGCACUGGGUCAGGAGCUUUGCAUAAGGAAGGGAAAAUUAAGAUUGUGUGUACAAAUUGAUUCUGACUCUGAAGAAAGCAGUCUUCUAGGACCAUGUAGGACAGAACUGAGGACCAUCCUGCUCAACCUAACAGUGCAGAGUGCUGGGCAAGGAGAAAACUGGCCACCCAAAGAAUCUCCUGAGUGAUGGGAUCCAUGGUGGUGGGACCAACGAGCUCCAGAAUGACAACAGAAAACUGGUACCAAUUGGUUACCAGAAAAUGGCAUGAUCUUCAAGAAAAGAAAAAAUUUCCUGGUGAAUAUUUCCUCUCUCCCCAGCAUUCUUGAGAUAGCAAGAGGCAGGAGACUGAACUGAAAAGAAGAGGAUCCUACAGCAAGUUGCUGACCCAGCUAACAGCACAGCUUCCCUCUUCCACAGAAUGGGAAGAAGAACAUUUUGUGCCUCUCUGUAUCAUUGUCCUCAAUGCUUGAAAACAAGUAAGACCCUACUAUCUUGGAAAAGUCUGACAAAUGUCCCCUAGAGGCUGCUGAGGAAGGGAGCCAUUCCACCUCCCGUUAUGGUAUGAGGAAUGAAGGAACUCUGCCCGGGAAACAAGAGCAUCAUGGGGAGAAAGCUACAGUCCUGUCUCAGCCACAUGACCUUGGACAUGUCCCUUUGCCUUGUGAGAUCUCUUUCUUGAUCUACCAAAGAGGCUCUAAAGACCUUCCCUCUGCAGUGAUAUUGCCUUCACCUGGGGUAAAUGCCACAGCCAUUGGAGAGACUGCAGGGUCCUCAUUCUCAUGAGUUUGCCCACCCUGCUGACCCAGGAGGGCUACUGCCAGCCCUUCUGUUGAGAAUCGAUCUUCUCUCUUGAGGACUGAUCGUGCUCAGAAAUCAACUGAUUUGGAGGGGCCAACAUGAAAAAAAAUUAAAAAGCUACAAGGAAACUUUUUGAUAAGCCCACCAACGAUACACACACUUGCACGCACACAUAUACAGAUGCACACACUCAAUCCCUGAAGUGUAAGCGUUUUCCCUUCUGUGUAUCAAAUCUAUUUUACCCUUUGUAACUGCCAGUGUGUUAGGAGGGAAUUCAAUCCAUUAAUGGAAAAACACUGCGUCUUUUUAAGGAACUCAGCUAAACCUCAGUGUUUGAGGGUGACCCUGGAUACAAGUCAAAGCUACAGGUCAUACCACACCUCAACUGUGGCCCAUAAAUGUAGGCUCUAGCAGCUGACACUGAGGCAGUAACUAGUUAGCAUAGUGCCGGGGUCCAGAUCCUUCCCUCACUGCUUGUCCACCUCCACUGCCUCCCCCACCCAUAGAUAUGUUGUUCUGUAAUGGUGGUUGCCUGCUCCAGCCUGCCCAUCCGCCUGCAUAGAGCGCCAUGGACUUGCUCUGUAAUGCAUUGUGUAUAUGUAU